GAUGAACGCUGGCGGCGUGCGUAACACAUGCAAGUUGAACGACGGUGCUAUGAAGUGGAGACACGGAGUGGCAUACGGAGUAGCGGACGGGUGAGUAAAGCAUGAGAAGCUGUCCUACGGAGGGGGAUAACGUUCGGAAACGGACCCUAAUACCCCAUAGUCCGAGAGGUUAAAGGCAGAGAUGUGCCGUAGGAGGUGCUCGUGUCCUAUCAGCUGGUUGGUGAGGUAAGGGCUCACCAAGGCAACGACGGGUAGCCGGCCUGAGAGGGUGACCGGCCACACUGGAACUGAGAUACGGUCCAGACUCCUACGGGAGGCAGCAGUGGGGAAUAUUGGGCAAUGGGAGGAAUCCUGACCCAGCGACGCCGCGUGAACGAAGACGGCCUUCGGGUUGUAAAGUUCUU
RNAcentral lists this ribosomal RNA (404 nucleotides) under Synergistetes bacterium oral taxon 361. Its description in RNAcentral is "bacterial SSU rRNA". It matches the Rfam family "Bacterial small subunit ribosomal RNA", at positions 28 to 435 of the family's 1533-position model. The record is from RNAcentral. Lineage: Bacteria; Thermotogati; Synergistota.